UUAAAUUGAAGAGUUUGAUCAUGGCUCAGAUUGAACGCUGGCGGCAGGCCUAACACAUGCAAGUCGAACGGUAACAGGAAGCAGCUUGCUGCUUUGCUGACGAGUGGCGGACGGGUGAGUAAUGUCUGGGAAACUGCCUGAUGGAGGGGGAUAACUACUGGA
Molecule: ribosomal RNA, 162 nt
Filed under: Escherichia coli
Lineage: Bacteria; Pseudomonadati; Pseudomonadota; Gammaproteobacteria; Enterobacterales; Enterobacteriaceae
Also listed under: 11 other names
Description: partial 16S ribosomal RNA
Rfam family: Bacterial small subunit ribosomal RNA
Source: RNAcentral